GCACAGAGUUAGCCGUCCCUUCCUCUUUCGCUACAAUCAGCUCGCCAUCUUUUAAAUAGCGAGGUUUGUUCGCAAAUGACAGGGGUUUACGGGCCGAAGCCAUUCAUCCCCCACGCGGCGUCGCUCCAUCAGGCUUUCGCCCAUUGUGAAAAAUUCUCGACUGCUGCCACCCGUAGGUGUCUGGACCGUGUCUCAGUUCCAGUGUGGCUGGUCGUCCUCUCAGACCAGCUACCCGUCUUAGCCUUGGUGAGCCGUUACCUCACCAACUAGCUGAUAGGCCGCGGGCUUAUCAAAAAGCGUCAGGCCUUACGGUCCCCAACUUUAAUCAUCAAACGAUGCCGCCCGAUGAUCACAUCCGGUAUUAGCUCGCCUUUCAGCGAGUUAUCCCAAACUUUUUGGCAAAUUACCCACGUGUUACGCACCCUUGCGCCGCUCCCACUCGGCUACAUUGCUGCAACCGAAUGAGCGCUCGACUUGCAUGUCUUAUCCACGCCGCCAGCGUUCGUU
Molecule: ribosomal RNA, 507 nt
Filed under: uncultured bacterium
Lineage: Bacteria
Description: partial 16S rRNA
Source: RNAcentral